RNAcentral lists this ribosomal RNA (301 nucleotides) under uncultured bacterium. Its description in RNAcentral is "bacterial SSU rRNA". It matches the Rfam family "Bacterial small subunit ribosomal RNA", at positions 32 to 309 of the family's 1533-position model. The record is from RNAcentral.
AAUCAACGCUGGCGGCGUGCCUCAGACAUGCAAGUCGAACGCGAAAGUCCCCCUCGGGGGACGAAGUAGAGUGGCGCACGGGUGAGUAACACGUAGGUAAUCUACCUUCGGGUGGGGAAGUAACAAUCGGAAACGGUUGCUAAUACCGCAUAAUGCAGCGGCACCUAAUGGUGACAGUUGUUAAAGCGGGGGAGUCGCAAGAUCUCGCGCCUGAAGAGGAGCCUGCGGCGGAUUAGCUAGUUGGUAGGGUAAUGGCCUACCAAGGCGACGAUCCGUAGCCGGCCUGAGAGGGCGGUCGGCC